UGAGGAAUAUUGGUCAAUGGGCGAGAGCCUGAACCAGCCACGUCGCGUGAAGGAAGACUGACCUUACGGUUUGUAAACUUCUUUUGUAGAGGGGUAAUGGCAGAUACGUGUAUUUGCGUGAAAGUACUCUACGAAUAAGCAUCGGCUAACUCCGUGCCAGCAGCCGCGGUAAUACGGGGGAUGCGAGCGUUAUCCGGAAUUAUUGGGUUUAAAGGGUGCGCAGGUGGCUAAUCAGGUCAGUGGUGAAAAGCUAUGGCUCAACCAUGGUCUUGCCAUUGAAACCGUAUAGCUAGAGAGGAGACGAGGUAGGCGGAAUGUGUGGUGUAGCGGUGAAAUGCAUAGAUAUCACACAGAACUCCGAUUGCGAAGGCAGCUUACCAGGCGUUAUCUGACACUUAGGCACGACAGCGUGGGGAUCAAACAGG
Molecule: ribosomal RNA, 425 nt
Filed under: Verrucomicrobiota bacterium
Lineage: Bacteria; Pseudomonadati; Verrucomicrobiota
Description: Verrucomicrobia bacterium partial 16S ribosomal RNA
Rfam family: Bacterial small subunit ribosomal RNA
Source: RNAcentral